This 1027-nucleotide long non-coding RNA is filed under the name Heterocephalus glaber (naked mole-rat). Its description in RNAcentral is "lncRNA (ENSHGLG00100036155.1)". Lineage: Eukaryota; Metazoa; Chordata; Mammalia; Rodentia; Bathyergidae. The record is from RNAcentral.
GGCGCUGACGGAGGGGGGGUAGCGCACCCCGACUCCCCUGAUCACAUGGGCUGCGGGGGGGGGGGCCAGGAAGAUCGGGAGAGGGGGAGGUGCGCAGAGCCGCCCGCCGCUCCUCACCCGGGCCGGGAGAAGUCGCCCCCCGCACCCCCCCACGAGUCCGUCCUCUCCAUUCAAGUUCGCCGGGCCUUGCCGCCGGGAUCGGGGAUGGCCCCCAGCUGCCCGCCCAGCUCUGCGUCCUGUUUCCAGCCACCGCGCAGAAAUUUAGGUCAAGGACGUCGGGAGCAAACCCACACCCUGGAGCUCUUCGGGAGGCCCCCGAGACCCCCCCACCCCAGGAUCGGGAUGGAGGGGGGGCUUCAGGAUGGCGGAGAACCCCCAGCACAAACAUCAGCCACAAGUUUUAUUUUGCCUUCGCGCUGCAAGUUCGGCGCUCGCUCCACACCGGCACGUCCUGCGCGGCUCCCCGCCCUUCCCCGCAGAGUGAGAAGGAGUUUUGUAGCGGCUCCAGGAUGGCUGGGAAGAGUGGUUAUUUCAGGAACGCCCUCUCCGAGCGGAUUUUUUGUAUCCAUGUUGGUGAGUCAAACUGGCUGCAAUUUACCCUUUCAUGGUACCUUCAUUUGGUUCCACAGGCCUCCUAAAGUGAACUGCCAUGAAACUUACUACUAUUCAACCAGAGAACUAAAGGAGAAACAAUGAUUUACAUCUACCUAUGUGCUGUUCCCAUCUCAUUCCCCUAACUGAAGUAACCACUAAUUGAGCCUUGUAUUUAUUUAUUUGUUUAUUUAUUUUUGGUACCAGGGAUUGAACUCAGGUCCUUGAGCUUGCAAGGCAGGCCACAGAACCACUGAGCUAAAUCCCCAGCCUGAGCCUUGUAUUUAUUAUUCUUUUGCUUUGGAAAAUUUUUUAUCACACAUAUCAAUGACUAAAUAAUAUAAUGUCUUGUUUUACUCAUUUUAAAACUGAAAAUUUUAUGAGGGAGAUCAUUUUGCUGAAAACAGAAUUACUAAUCUAAAUUGUUGCAUCUGGU